RNAcentral lists this ribosomal RNA (588 nucleotides) under Rhizosphaera kalkhoffii. Its description in RNAcentral is "eukaryotic LSU rRNA". The stretch from base 228 to 381 matches the Rfam family "5.8S ribosomal RNA". The record is from RNAcentral. Lineage: Eukaryota; Fungi; Ascomycota; Dothideomycetes; Dothideales; Dothideaceae.
UAAAAGUCGUAACAAGGUUUCCGUAGGUGAACCUGCGGAAGGAUCAUUAAAGAGUAAGGGUCUCCGGCCCGAACCUCCAACCCUUUGUUGUUAAAACUACCUUGUUGCUUUGGCGGGACCGUUCGGUCUCGAGCGCACCGGUCUUCGGAUUGGUGAGCGCCCGCCAGAGUCCAACCAAACUCUUGUAUUAAACCAGUCGUCUGAGUAUAAAAUUUUAAUUUAAUUAAAACUUUCAACAACGGAUCUCUUGGUUCUCGCAUCGAUGAAGAACGCAGCGAAAUGCGAUAAGUAAUGUGAAUUGCAGAAUUCAGUGAAUCAUCGAAUCUUUGAACGCACAUUGCGCCCCUUGGUAUUCCGAGGGGCAUGCCUGUUCGAGCGUCAUUACACCACUCAAGCACUGCUUGGUAUUGGGCACCCGUCCGCCGAAAGGCGGGCGUGCCUCGAAGACCUCGGCGGGGUCUAAUCGGCUUCGGGCGUAGUAGAGUUAAAUCAAAACGUCUUAUAAGUCUGGUUAGAACCCAUUGCCGUAAAACCUUUUAUUUUCUAGGUUGACCUCGGAUCAGGUAGGGAUACCCGCUGAACUUAAGC